UGUUGAACCAGCGGAGGGAUCAUUACUGAGUUUACGCUCUAUAACCCUUUGUGAACAUACCUAUAACUGUUGCUUCGGCGGGUAGGGUCUCCGCGACCCUCCCGGCCUCCCGCCUCCGGGCGGGUCGGCGCCCGCCGGAGGAUAACCAAACUCUGAUUUAACGACGUUUCUUCUGAGUGGUACAAGCAAAUAAUCAAAACUUUUAACAACGGAUCUCUUGGUUCUGGCAUCGAUGAAGAACGCAGCGAAAUGCGAUAAGUAAUGUGAAUUGCAGAAUUCAGUGAAUCAUCGAAUCUUUGAACGCACAUUGCGCCCGCCAGCAUUCUGGCGGGCAUGCCUGUUCGAGCGUCAUUUCAACCCUCAAGCUCUGCUUGGUGUUGGGGCCCUACAGCUGAUGUAGGCCCUCAAAGGUAGUGGCGGACCCUCCCGGAGCCUCCUUUGCGUAGUAACUUUACGUCUCGCACUGGGAUCCGGAGGGACUCUUGCCGUAAAACCCCCCAAUUUUCCAAAGGUUGACCUCGGAUCAGGUAGAAUACCCGCUGAACUUAAGCAUAUCAAU
This 559-nucleotide ribosomal RNA is filed under the name Colletotrichum gloeosporioides. RNAcentral's name for it is "eukaryotic LSU rRNA". The stretch from base 198 to 351 matches the Rfam family "5.8S ribosomal RNA". Lineage: Eukaryota; Fungi; Ascomycota; Sordariomycetes; Glomerellales; Glomerellaceae. The record is from RNAcentral.